This 389-nucleotide ribosomal RNA is filed under the name Grammonema sp. Its description in RNAcentral is "partial small subunit ribosomal RNA". It matches the Rfam family "Eukaryotic small subunit ribosomal RNA", at positions 583 to 975 of the family's 1831-position model. Lineage: Eukaryota; Bacillariophyta; Fragilariophyceae; Fragilariales; Fragilariaceae. The record is from RNAcentral.
UUCCAGCUCCAAUAGCGUAUAUUAAAGUUGUUGCAGUUAAAAAGCUCGUAGUUGGAUUUGUGGUUGGGUCCGUUGGUCCGGCACAUUGUGCGGGUACUUGAUGGACUCGUCCAUCCUUGGGUGGAAUCUGUGUGGCAUUAAGUUGUCGUGCAGGGGAUGCCCAUCGUUUACUGUGAAAAAAUUAGAGUGUUCAAAGCAGGCUUAUGCCGUUGAAUAUAUUAGCAUGGAAUAAUGAGAUAGGACCUUGGUACUAUUUUGUUGGUUUGCGCACCGAGGUAAUGAUUAAUAGGGACAGUCGGGGGCAUUUGUAUUCAAACGACAGAGGUGAAAUUCUUGGACCGUUUGAAGACAAACUACUGCGAAAGCAUUUGCCAAGAAUGUUCUCAUUA